RNAcentral lists this ribosomal RNA (25 nucleotides) under uncultured Paraglomus. RNAcentral describes it as "partial 28S ribosomal RNA". The record is from RNAcentral. Lineage: Eukaryota; Fungi; Glomeromycota; Glomeromycetes; Paraglomerales; Paraglomeraceae.
GGGCCUCAAAUCAGACAAGAGUACC